Long non-coding RNA from Notothenia coriiceps (black rockcod), 2884 nucleotides. RefSeq lists it as uncharacterized. The transcript is spliced from 3 exons. NCBI's taxonomy places the organism in Eukaryota, Metazoa, Chordata, Actinopteri, Perciformes, Nototheniidae. The record is from RefSeq and is a predicted model, not a curated record.
CAGUAAAUGACUAAUGUGGGUUGGUUUCAGUUUCGUGUGAAAGUGGAGAAAAAUCCAGAGCUUGGUUUCAGUAUAUCAGGAGGAGUGGGAGGUCGGGGAAAUCCUUUUCGCCCAGACGACAAUGGUAUAUUUGUGACGAGAGUUCAACCUGAGGGGCCGGCAUCUAAGAUUCUUCAGCCUGGAGAUAAAAUCCUCCAGGCAAACGGCUACAGCUUUGUGAAUAUCGAUCACGGGAACGCAGUGGCCCUCCUGAAGACUUUUCCUAACACUGUGGACAUGAUUAUCGUAAGAGAAGCGCAGGCAUAGACUGAACCUGACCUCUGAAGCUGAGGGACACGAGGCAAACGGAGACAUUAAUGUUGACUCUCAUAUUUUUGUACGCAGAGGACACUGACAUGCCGGGACUAUUUAUAGCAGAGCCUUGAUUUACGGGGAAAACCACUGAAUGUAGUGGAUCAAAGUGAAACGAGUACGAGUCCUCAAAAGGCCAUCACUGUGGUAUAUAUAUUUUUAUACAAAAGAAGCUGAAGAUGUGACCUGAUGCAAAUAAUUACUGUGGUCUCUGUACAGAUCAUCUUUUCCUUUUUCUUCUUUUGUCCACAACUCAGAAGUCCUUGAUCAUGAAUGAGGUUUCAUUUCUGCAGAUUGACAUGAAUUGACCACUCCCUCGCCUUUUUUUUUUUUUUACUUUUAAUCUAAGAUGUUGAAAUCUGGUCUGCCCUGCGAUCUUUUACGGAGGACGAUGUUACGUGCUUUUCUUGUGGAGACGAAUGUAGAUCAAGGAAGUGAUUUGAUUUUGUUUUUCGGAGAGAUAUCGUUUGAUCCAGCCCUGCUUCCAUAAACCUGUGAACACGCGACGCUUCCACAGGAAUAUCCUCACGGCUCUGCACACCUUCCCUACACACCACUACCUGCGCUGUGUGGAAGACAAUCCUUGGCAAUAUGAAUGAAUCACAGCUUCUCGGAUGUUGCGGAAAUGGGAGAGGGGAGGUGUUAGCUCAGCCUUAAUCUGUUCAGUCGGAAGCUUUAGUUUGAAGCUGAAGUUCAACAUUUUGGGACAUUUUCUGAGAGAAGUUUGAAGCACUCGCAGUGACCGUACGACAGAAAGAGCUGCACGUGUUUCCCAAAAUGUUGGAACCCUUCCUUUAAGCGUAGAAAGACAUGGCGGGUGUGCUAGUGAACCAAAGCAAGUUUGUGGACAGGGAGAGUGCAGGAUAUUGAAAAGAUAUUUGAAUAAGAACAGGUCAACGUUUCACUCGUGUGUUUUUAUUUCUUAAGGGCUUCAUCUUUCAGGCGGCCAUUGGAGGGAGAUGAACGUUUUAUUUUGCAGGGGUUUCAACAUCUGUCCGUUUUUACAUGGGAGAAGACCACAGUUUGCCUUUUGUGUCUAUGAAAUGAUGUUUUAAUCACGCUUCUUACUCAUCACUUUGGAACCGUUUCUCAAUAUGUUUUCUUUGCUGUACAGAGAGUAGAGCUGGGAGAAACAAGUUGUCAAGUGCCAUAGACCUGGAACUGUUUGAGCAGGGGGAGGACCCCAGAACCCGAGCAAUACUCACAUAAUCACAGCAUUUGCAGCAUCAUGGCUUCAAAGCAAUACUAAAGCCUUUAUUUUCAAAAAGAUCAUCAGAUAGCAUUUUUUUAAACACAAUCUUUAGUAAUCACCAAUGAUUUUACAUAAUUUUUAUAUUGUGAAAACAUGUUUUUUUUCUAAUGACAUAGCACAAGAAAUAUAAACAGUGCUUAACAAAAGAUUUCUCUGCGUUGUGUAAAAGUGAAAGAUGGUGUCACUUUGUCCAAUGCGUUUGACUGACUGUGUGUCGCUUAGAUUACCGUAGCUCCUCACGUUCAUUUGUGCAAAAAUAAUCCACUUUAAAAAUCGAAUUGAGUCAAAACUACUUCUCAGAUCAUUCCUAAUGUUUGUCACAUGUAGGAAAAUGUGUUUUCAAGCAGCAUUAUGUCACUUCGUAUUCUCUGUGCACAUCUCCGUUAAUAUUCUUUCACUGGUAAAUAACUCUUGAGUGAGACGUGUUUCCACAACAAACGGGAAUGAUAAAAUUCACUAAAUAAUGGGCCCUUCAAUUCCAACCACACAUUUGUGACCACUGAAUUAUUUGUAUAAUAUGUAGUGUUUUAUCCACAUGGCAUUCCCUCAACUUGUUUACAGUAGGUUGUGGCCUCUACUGAUCCCAUGUGUAGUUAAAUAGAUUUAUAUUUUAUGCGUGUGGCACUGUUGAACCAAAUUUAAACACUGGUAGUUCACAAAAUGAAAUACCUUUUUAUAUAAUAGUCCAAAUGUUUAAAGGUAGUUCUAAGUGAAGCUGUACCCUUAAUUUUUUAACUGAAUCUAGAAUUUGUAAAUUGUAUCCACAUGAAAAUGAAAUGAUUUCCUAAAUGUCUCACAGAGCGUAGUAUUUCACACAGAUGAUUUGUUUUUAUUAUUUGUAUUAAUUUCUUGGUGAUUUCUGUUGACUUUGAGGGGAUUUCUGCGGUAAUGGUCACUUUAUAUUCAUGGCAAAAAAACAUAGACAUGUUAGAAAAUCUAGGGAGAUAAAAACAUUUCUUCAUUCAUGUCGCUCGUUUCUUACGCUCCCGUAUCGUUCUUAUUUAUUUAGCAGCCUUCUUUGGUUUUUAGACCUCACUAAUCAAAUUGUAAAUAUCUUAAAAAAUUGAGAAAAUAAUUAAUGACGGCAUUAGUGACUUGCGAUUGUAAAACCAGCAAUAAAUUGCAAUGCAGAGGCACUGGUUUUAAUGUAUAGCUAGUAUUUCUAAGGUUUCUCUGGAAACAGUGAGAUGAUGAUUGAAAUGCAUUUAUCCAACAUUCCAGAUUUUGUACAUAAUUACCUGUUUCUGAAGUAACCUGUGGAAAAUAAACGAAUGCUCUUUA